Molecule: RNA transcript, 7642 nt
Organism: Topomyia yanbarensis
Lineage: Eukaryota; Metazoa; Arthropoda; Insecta; Diptera; Culicidae
Gene: mim
Gene name: GATA zinc finger domain-containing protein 7
Exons: 20
Source: RefSeq, a predicted model, not a curated record
UGCAAACUUCUUCACUUCAGUCUGGUGAGAAAUGUUCGCGUCGCAACAUUCGCUGCUUCAUCUCGUUAUUUUGGAUUAAUUUAGCGUUUUAGAAGUUUAUCCGUGUGGCUGCAAUUUAUUUUUUAUAGAUUUUGCUUUGAGAUGCAUAGUGAACUGUAGUGGAAAGUGUGAGCUGUGUUUGGUUCCGUUUUACGCAAGUGAAAAUUUUCUAACAGCAGACAUGUUUUUAUUUGCCCAAACUCCCGGUUCGUCAUAAACCGCGAUUAUGUGAGGAUUAAGGAUUAACUGGAAUUAGAAGUGACUUGAUUGAUUAUAGUUUUAAAAAUAGUUGUAACAGCGAGUGUAGAAUUAAUAAAUCAAUGCCUGAAUAGAUUUUUUUCCUGGGAUAUAGGUACUAGAAUAGUUUGCAGGUUUGCACAAAUUAAGGAUAUGUGAUUGUGCGUAAAUGAAGUAACGCAGUUGUGUGCGUGUCUAACAUCGACAAGACGUAAGGAUCCGCUAUCCAUUGCUUUUGAACACAGGUGUGGAGUUGGGAAGAGAUAACGAGUGGGCCAGGUUGUUAACUUACUAGGUUUUCAUCAGCGUGAUCAAAGGCUGCUAUGAAGGAAUGGAAAAAGUGCGACCACAGUAGCAAGUAGUACAGAGAAACGCUAGUUGAAAAGUUGAAGUUCGUGAAGUUGUGUUUGUGAGGAACGGUGGAUAUACAUUACAACAAAAAUUGUAGCUGUUUUCAAAUUAAACAAAACCUAUGGUCAGAAAAAGUCAGGAAUAAGCAAAUUCCAAUGUCUCGGCGGAUAAAUUAGAUUCGGUGGGUGUUUGUACUAUCGUUUCACUAAAGCAGAGACAGACGAAAGCCCGGUGUGAGAAUAGGAGAAAGUGUGAAAACAAACUUGUGUGUCUCAAUGGCUUUCCGUUGCGCUUGUGUUGUAGUGUAUGUGGAUAAUAGUGGAAAUGCAGUUCCGAGAAUAGGCGAUUUGAGCGAGCCGCAGAAGGUGGAGAAUGAAGAUAAUUUUGUAUCUGGUUCAAUUGAAACCACUGUUUGUGACGCAAAUGUGGAAGAAGUAAAGCUAUAAUCGAUUUGUCACGGAAUAUUUGUCCGAAAGAAGUGAGAGUAUACAUUCAAGGGCCGAAUUAAUAUCUACAUUUCACAGACUAGGUUUGUUCGUCCUUUGAAUAGUAAAAAGUGUGCUGCCAACAGCACUCAUGGAUAUUGGAAUAGAGCGCAACGAAGGAGGGGCCACCAUUGGCACCCUCUUUCAGCACAUCGUCAACGACAUGAAGAAUUCCAGUCCACUAUGGGAUGAUUUUAUUGCGAAAGCGACGAAACUUCACGCUUGUUUGAGGGCGGCGAUUCAGGCACUAGCAGCAUAUUUGGAAGCGUUUCAAAAAAUUGCCGACUCAGCUACAAAUUCUAAGGGUGCCACCAAAGAGAUAGGUACCGCGCUGACGCGAGUAUGUUUACGGCACAAAGCAGUGGAAACAAGAAUGAAAACCUUCACCGCUGCGAUUAUGGACUGUUUGAUUGUACCGCUGCAAGAGAAAUUAGAGGACUGGAGAAAACACGUCGCUAUUAUAGAUAAAGACCAUGCCAAAGAGUACAAGCGCUGUCGGGCGGAGUUGAAAAAACGUUCCAGUGAUACCCUACGGCUACAAAAGAAAGCCAAAAAGGGUCAAGCCGACAAUUUACACAAUCUGGUGGAGUCUUCCAUGCAGGAUGUGACGUUGCGGCGAAGCGAGCUCGAAGAGGUCGAACGGAAGUCGCUACGAGCAAUCAUGGUCGAGGAGCGAUCACGGUACUGCACAUUUGUAAAUAUGCUACAGCCUGUGGUUCACGAGGAGUGUGAGGUGAUGUCGGAACUAAGUCAUCUACAAGAAGCAAUGCAACUAAUAGCAAUAGUAACGAAAGAUCCAUCUAUCCUGCCUAAAGCCUCGGAAGAACUAAUUUUAGAGUCGAAAACGAAUAUCAAUUUUUAUCCGGACUCGCCAGGUGGUUCCAAUUCACAGGGAGGAUGUUCAAACUCGUUAGGAUCGCGUAAAAGUUCAGUAUGCUCAAUUAGUUCAAUGAACAGUAGCAGUAGUGGUUCUCCAGGGCAUCAAUUCCAACGAUCGCUAUCACAGUACUCCCCAGCGAUACGUUUGAAACCAGGUGAAUCUAGUGAUAGCGGAUUUUGUUCUUCGCCAGCUUUAACUUCGCAGGCGUCUACACUUGCUAGUCAAUCACAUGCUGUUUCCACGUGGCCUCCACACACACAAGAUAAUGCUGCGAGUGUCGAUCGACCUCACACAAUUUCAUCAGCAUACGAAAAGGGUCACCAACGGCCAGCGCUCACAGUCUAUACGUUCCAAAAUCCGGAAACAAUAUCCGAGAACCAGAAGUCGCCCGCCAACAUAUCGUGCCGACCGCCGCUGCCUGUGCGGUGCUCUUCACUCGAAAGGCCACUUUCGACAGCUUCUAUGAAAAAUUCAAAUACAACUGUCCCGAGGCAAUGUCCCUCGCCGAUUCCAGCCCACAUUACCAAAGAACACCCACAACUACAACCCACCUACGUCAAUAUGACUGAACUGGCAUCGAUGGCUGCCUCUAAAGUUACUAACAACAAUAAUAACAAUAACGCAACUAACCAGCCCCCAUUUGCGGUACAAACUCUAGUACAACCACAAACCAUCGGGUAUCAACAGCUCCAGCAGCCAAAUUCUCCGGUGCUGUCGUCAGCCUCGUCUCUCAUAUCACCCGAUUCAUGUGCCACCAACGCAAUAAGUUCACCGGAUGUUUCCGCCUGUAGCACUCAGACACCGCAAAAUACACCCCAGACAGGGUCUCCGCAGACACCCAUUUACAGCGGUAGUGCAAUGUCGGUUGUAGGGUCUGGUAGCGGUAACGGUGAAAGUGGGCUUCCUUCAACUGUCGUCGAUGAGAGUGUUCCAACCAGCCCGAAAAACACGACUUCUACCAACGAAAGCGAAAGUAAUAAUGAUAACAAUAAACACCAGUCGUCGUCAGCAACUAAUGACCUCGAUGAUAACCCAUCAGCUCAAUCUAACACUAACAACCAAUUUCAAUUCACCACAGAUAAAGAUAUCCUUAAAUGUACCGGUUCAGUUCUAGAAAAAACAUCUAUGUUUGAACAACAAAUCAACAACAAUCAACACCAGCAACAAGUAUUGUUAAGUACUCCUACACGCGUUGAAAACAUUUACUGUCACAAAGGCGAAGAAAUUUAUAAACCCACAGGUCUACAUCCGGAUCGUGAUACUGAUCGGAUUGAUAAAGAAACGAUUGAGGAGCUAAAUAAUUUAAUCGGUGAACUAGACCUAUUCCAAAAGGAGCACGAGCUACGAUUGGAGGAGCAUCUGCUACCGUUACCUGAAAACGGCGUCAAUCAUCAAUCUAUUAACAAUGGAAAUCUAUCGUCGAAUAACAGUGAUUCUGCCGGCAGCGAACGUAACGACAAGGUGUCGAUUUCAAGUUCGAUGAAUAUUGAAGGACUGAAUUUAUCUUUAAACAGUACUAAUUUGAGCAAUGAUUAUCCGUUCAACUACAGCGAUAGCGAUAUUAACAAGUGCAAUCAAAAGGGCAGCGAUUCGGUUGAUUAUCCCAAUACCGGCUUUGAAAAUCCUUCAUUUAUGCACCUGAAUGAAUCAGAAAUUGUUGUGAUGCGGCAGAACGACUUUGGUAAAGUUGAUCCGGAAAAUUACUACAGUCAGAACAUGAGCGAACUAGUGGUUUUGCGAUGCAAGGAUAUUUCCAAAAGUGAUUCAACACGAGUUGAAGAUGUAGUCAUCGUCGAUAGCCAACAGCGGCUGAGUUCGUUUAAACUAAAUUCGCGAGCUGCUUCACCAGCGUUAUCAUCGUUCACGGUUUCUCGAUCGCCAACGCCAUCCUUUUCGUUACCGCCCAGUAGCGCAACAACUCCCACGAUGGCAUCACCGCAGCACACGAUUCACAGUAACAGCAGCGGCAACAACAAUAACAACAACUAUGUGAUAAGUCACCCACAACAGCAACAACAACAUCCGCAGCAGCACUUUGUCAAUGGUAAUCAGAAAUGCUCGUUGAUCUCAAUGCCAUCUGAUGAGCGCAUUAAUAGAAUUAAGCCUGCAAUCACACCGCGACCUGCAUCGUUAACUGGCGCUAGUCGGGUUGCUAGACGCUCAUCUGUAAAUACAAUAAAGCCUCCACCUCCCGUGCGGAGAAGCUCCAGUGUAACACCAAACCCCAACUUGGGAACGAACUCACCAAAUUUAUCCCAGCAAAGUCUUGCGUACACAUCCUCUGAAAGCUUACCACCUCCUCCUGCGUAUUUACUUGAUAGCACUUCUGGAAAUUCUCCAAUUCCAGGGAACGUAGCAGGAACGGUGAAAGCUUUAAACGAAAUCCGGCACAAGCCGGCUAGUCCAAGUGUUCUUCGACGCGCUCAUCAGAAUCUGCCAAAUCAGCAACAACCCUUAUCCCAGUAUUCCACCAACGCAUACAGUAGUAGCACGCCUAAACAUGAACCAACUAGUUUCGCUUCACCUGUUCACACGCACCACCUUUCACCAAACUCUGCUAAUUCUAAUGGUGAUAGUCAUAAUUUGUCUACAAGCCGAAACUUGAAAUCCAGUCACAACCAACAAGGCAUUUACGCGCAACCAAAACAGUUGGCGAGUAUGUCCAGCUUUCGAACGACAAGUCCAGGUCCACAAAAACAGAACAGUGGAUUUCUGGCUCAGCUCAACGCCAGAAUCGCUCCCAGCAAGACACAACAGCAAUCGUCACCUCAACACUAUCAGUCGCAACAGCAAUCCUUCACUUAUACGACUGCCCCGUCGAAUGAACCAGUAUACCACAGAAGCAGUGCGGCGGAUCAACGAUCUUCCUACAUCAGUAGUCAACAACAGCAAUCCUCACAAGGGAUCUACUCAUCUUCCCAGCAAACUAUAACACAUCAACAACAAUCACAGUACUACUACCAUCAACAGCAGCAGCAGCAUCAGCAACAUUUGACGUCCAACAGUCAAAGAGACGGUAAAAAUCAAAUUUAUUCAUCCGCCCCCUCCCAAAAUCAGCUGCAGCAUCAUAAUCAUCACAGUCAGCAACAACAGUCCCACCAACAGCAGCAACAGACGCAAGCAAAGGCGCAGUACUAUUAUCAACAAACACAGCCGCAGCAAACUUUUGCCACUCAGAAUAUUUACGUAUCUACGAACCCAUUUGCGACAGCUAGCCCGGUACACUCUAGCUAUUCACCUUCAUCCUUUGGCAAAUCUUCUCGCGAUGGCCACGAUUCCGGCCUUAGCGGUGGUGGUGGUACCCACAGCCGAUCAAAUCAACAAUCCCGUAGUAGCAACGUGGGCAAUGCUAACAACGCCAACAACGUACUCGCCAAAACCAAUGUCGGGUUUUUGGAAAAUCUAAACGCAAGACUGGCGGAACAAAGACUUUCAGGGAAAGCUUUUGCUGUGCGGAACCUGAUUAACAGUAAAGCGCUGGAUGAUGACUAUUACCAGAAAUACUAUCAGAACGUUUAAUCUACCGUAAAGUUUUCGUCAGCCGCACAGCUUUUAGUACUAAGCUUGUAUGUUGAAUGAAAUUCUUCCGUUUCUAAGCCUGACCCACGGAUUUGCCACGAGUCACUGAUGGAUCAGAUAAAACGUGGUGCCACCUUGAAGCGAAAUCGAACAAUCAACGAUCGGAGCGCACCUAAAAUUCAUUAGAAAACUCUACAGUGAAUAGAUUGAAGAAACUAUAAGCCAAAUAAUAGUAAGCCCAUAAGUGGUAAGUUGGAGGAAAUAGUUCCCUAAGUACUCAUCGAAUGAGUGCCACUGAUCACACAGUCAUCGCUAUGUCAGAAACUGAAUUACGUCCAGCGUUGAACGAAAAUUGGAUAAGAAAAAUUCUGGAAGAAUGAUGUUUUUCGCUAGCCGAAAAAUGAGAAAAGACAAUUCUAAAUCAAAAUAGAAAAAGUUUUGGUUCACCCUAAAGUUUAGUAAGUGCGCCCGAUGACAGGCGGCGAAGUGAAGGAAAGUUGAUUAUACAUAUUUCAAGUGUUAUCUAUUUACUAACAUGUAUUUAAUUAAUCGGUUUAAUCAUUAUAAAAUAUGCUGUAUUAGUUAGAGAUGCUGGGUAGCGUGACGAACUAGAAACGAACAAGUUGAGCUUAGCUUUUAGUGAAGCUACACACCAAGUAUUGGAUUUUCGCAAGCUACUCUAUGAUUUAGGUAUCAUUCAAAAACAGCUUCCUUUCCGAGUAAUACGUGCGUGAAGUGCUUUUAUUUUAGCAUUGUGUUCUUGAUAGAGAACAUUUUUACUAUAACAAUACUUAUAUACAUAUUACAUUAUAUACUCUUGAAAUUCAUACCAAAGGAGAAACUUUUCAUUUAAUCCCUCAGAACUUUUAAACAAAUUCGUGUUUUAACAUUGAAACAACAGAACUGAUACUUGCUUAGAAAGUGUAUACAACAGCAUCGUAAAAUAUCAUUUUCUCCCGCGAAACGCAAAGCACUGAACUAACUUAAAUAAGCUCCUUUAGGAGUAAUUUGAACAUCUAUCAACAACAGAACUAUAUAUCAAUUAUCAACCAUGGUACUGAAAUUAUAUACAAACUGUAUAUUCUACGUGUAAACAAAUAAAAUCACAAUUUAUCAAAUGCUAGUUAUAUACAGCAGUGACAGAUAGGGAGAACGGAUAAGAAACAUUCGAUGUCGUCCAUUAAAAUUUAGGAAUACAUACAAAACAUUCGCAUUAGUAACGGAAGCUCAACCAUGUGUAAAUUCCUGACUUUUCAGUAUUCUGCGAAAAGAGCGAAUGAAAAAGGCUGAUAUUUAGCAACAUCUAGUGGAUUCCAUCAUCCCGAUUUUACCUUCCGAUUAGGUAUCAGCAAUUGUAUUUGCAUCAGUUUCCUACCAAACGUUCGUCUUCCACCAAAGACAAAAUUGAAGCCGACCCCCCUCGCGCCUAAUUCUGCAUACAAACAAGGCGACUUUUUUCUUUCCUUAUCGGUACCAGUACACGCAUCGAAAGAGGCUAAAUUAUUUACCACCAGAAUGUUAUUAAUUUUCCAAUGAUUAUUUAUUUUGCACACCGGUAUUUAUUAUUAUCCCCAGUGUGGAUAGUGUUAUUAUUUGACGUCGAAUCUAUCGCGCAAAACUAUUUGAAUCUCCAAUACAUACUCUCUAGGUCACAUAGCAUGUACCCAUAAACUGUAGUAUAUUUGGCAAAUAUUUUGUGAAUACGAGUCAUGAUUUUUGGGAUUCUAUUCUGUUAUAACAUAUAUUAAUUUAUUUGCGCUACUAAACCAUAAAAAAUACAUCACAAUAACCUAAGGUAAUAUUUAGGUCUUCAAAAGCUUAACAAAACAAUACUAAAUGCUGCGAACAACAAAAAGAAACAAUAAUUACUAGAUAGGCGAACCAGAGCGAAACUACGAAAAACUCCGCAAAUAAUCCAACAAAACAUUAGCACGAAAUUAGCAGAUUACGGGAAGCAAGAGUGAAUAUAUUUUUAUACGAGCGAACGCCAGAACUUGAGUUUUUCGGGUAUAACUAAACGUAGCGACUAUCGGUCAAAUUCUGUACUGUUCAAUUUAAAUCACUACACUAUGGUAAAAUCGUGAACAUAUAUUGCUGUAUUCUAGAACAAAAAUAUCAAAUAAAAGUGAAU